This 2300-nucleotide long non-coding RNA is filed under the name Hordeum vulgare. RNAcentral describes it as "long non-coding RNA (HVUL_LNC009753)". The record is from RNAcentral. Lineage: Eukaryota; Viridiplantae; Streptophyta; Magnoliopsida; Poales; Poaceae.
GAGUGUGGAGCGUGAGUGAGAGCGUGAGUGUGUGAGCCGUGUGUAGCUUAGUGGGUUAGUAGUAAUUAAUAAUUAGUUUAACUAGUUAGUUUAACUAAUAGCCUAUGUCAAGUGGAGCCUCGGCUAAGUUAAUUUAAUUAAGUAGCAUAGUUUAGUUGCUGCCUAUGAUAUGUGGGCCACACCCAUCCCAUUUGACUAGUAAGUUGACAUGGUCAAACUCGUUUUAAAUGAUUUUAGAAAAUCAAAUAAGCUUCGGAAAAUCAUAUCUAAAUCAUACAAACUUGAACAAAAAUAAUUUAUAUAUAAAAGAUGAUCAGAAAAAUAUAACGAAUCUGAAUAUGCCAUCUAUAUACCUGCCACACCUCUCUAACAUGAUGCACAUGAACAUUUUGCAUUAGGAUCGUCUAUCCGAAAAUUACCUGGAGCCGGGAAUAUAUUGCGGGAUAUUUUGCCUCUUAUUUUAAAAUGCUUAAGGAUGCAUUAGAGCAUGUCACCUACACAUCUUGUUGUGCCAUUGCAUUUGUGUUGCAUUUAAUUGCUGUGUUAUUUAUUGUGUUUCCCCUCCAUUACUUUCUUUCCGGUAGACCCCGAGACCGAUGAUGAUCCGGUGAUCGAAUACUUCCUGGUCGAGGAUCCGUAUCUGUGUGCACAGCAGCAAGGCAAGCAAACCCCCCUUGAUCAUUCCUAUAUCGCCUAUGUCUUUCUUCCUACUGCUUGCAUUAGUAUUUUUCUACUGUUGUAGUUAGCUCCUAUAUCUGAUGCAUAUAUAGCCUAUUUUUGAUGAACAACUACUUUCAGUCCUGUACCUUUAAUAUGCUUAGUAUAGGUGGAGCAGUCAUCCCAUCUGACCCCGUAGUCUAGUUGCCUCGCUUGUUUUCAAAUCUCGAUCCCUGAUCGACGAAACACCUCACACACACACCCCUUAGUUGUACGACGCUACGGGGAUACUAUCGGGUACCGAGGGUGACACCUCGUUAAGUACUCAUGAUGAUAUCUCUGUAGUAUAGCUAGUCGGUCGUGGUUAUUGAGGGUGAUUCCUCUUUCAUCAUUCCCGACGAUGCCUCUCUCGUACAACCCCUCAAGUGUCAGAUGUCAGCAAUGUAGCGGCGCGCGCCCAAGUGGUCCCGAGAUGCAUCGCGCUUGUGAUUAAGGGAUGCUAGGAAUGACGUCGGCCGCCCACGCCACGUGCAGGAGCGCGAAGGGGAACUGGGCCCACGAACCCUUUGUGCUUAGGAGUUAGACCUGCGGGCUGGCCUCUCUGAUUAAUCAUAGGUGGGGCUGCGACGUGUCGAUAUUCCGAGGCCAGGCAGGACCCAGAAAAGUGUGUCCGGCCAGAGUGUUAUCGAGCGUGACGGGACAUGUGGUGCACCCCUGUAGGGAUGAAAAUUAACUAUUCUAAUAGCCGUGUCAACGGUUACAGGACGACUUGGAGUUGUGCCCUGAUCUUAUACAACUACAAUUGUUACUUAACUGGAAUUAGUUCGCCUCGGGAUUGCUUCCUCGCAGGGAGUCGAGGGAGGAUCUUUGGGCGUGACCUCACUUUAAUAUUGCUGCAACAAUUUGACUAUUAAUGUUUUACACCUGUUCUAUUCUCGUCUUUUGCUGCAAGACCCUGAAGAUGCUAGUCUUCGAUAGGACUAGGCCUUCUCUCUAUUCUUGCAUUGCUGCAGCCAGUCCACAUAUAAAACCCCUUCUUUGAUACUGGUGCAUAUUUAGCAUAGUUCUGAUGUAAGUCUUGUGAGUACUUUGGAUGAUUACUCACCGCUGCUUUGCUCCCCCUUUGUCCCCUUGAUCCGUUGUUGCGACCAGAUGAUGGAGCCCAGGAGAUGGAGUUUCCUGCCGACGCCUGUCGCCCCGUUGGUGUCUUCUUCGUGGAGGUUGAUGAAGAUAGGUGUAGUUAGGAGGUUCCCAGGCAGGAGGCCUCGCCUCGUUCAAUCGUCUUUCUUUUGUGCUAGCCUUCUCUAAGGCACCCCCAUGCUUUAUGUCUGUACUCAGAUAUUGUUGCUUUCGCUGACUCGUGUGCUUAUCGAGCUUCUGUAUUCUAGCCCUCGAGGCCCUUGGCUUGUAAUAUGAAGCUUGUAUUAUUUUAUUUGUGUCUAGAGUUGUGUUGUGAUAUCUUCCCGUGAGUCCUUGGGUUUGAUCGUACGCAUUUGCGUGUAUGAUUAGCGUACGAUUAAACCGAGGGCGUCACAAUGCAAGAAAGGAAUAAUAUUAGCUCAAGCUUCAAGCUAGAAGACUCUUCAUUUUAUAUUUAUGAGAACUCAGUUUUGAGACCAUAGUAAAGCCAAUACUAUAAAAAG